Molecule: long non-coding RNA, 552 nt
Filed under: Phocoena sinus (vaquita)
Lineage: Eukaryota; Metazoa; Chordata; Mammalia; Artiodactyla; Phocoenidae
Description: lncRNA (ENSPSNG00000014790.1)
Source: RNAcentral
GGCGGCUUUUCCGGCGUCGACUGAGGUCAUUUUGUAAACUCGGCUGUGUUCACAGGCGGGGAACUUCGCAACGCUGUGAAGGCCAGAGGUCAGGGAGCCAGGAAGGCGCGGUGCCCGCUUCUCUGAGCUUCGUCUGAGGCUCGGCGUGGGCACUAUCCGGCCUGACUCUGUCUUGGGCGGUUGGUGCCGCAGUGCCCGGGCCCCACCUUCACCCACAAACUCCGCUGGCGCCGGCGCAGAUGUGUCUGAUUCAGGGCCCUGUGACCUUUGAGGACGUGGCUGUGUACUUUUCCCAGGAGGAAGAAAGCUUCUUGAUGAGGCCCAGAGAUUCCUGUACCGUGAUGUGAUCCUGGAGCCCUUUGCACUUGUUGCAUCAUUGGUUUGUUGGUAUGGAGCAGAGCACAAGGAGAUAACUUCUGAGCAGAAUGUUUCUGUAGAAGUGCCAUGAAUAUACUUCAGAGACCUGUCCAUCCAAAGUCCUGUCCCUGCAAGAUGUGUAGCCUGGCCUUAAACAGAGUAGAGGAAGGCCUUCAAAGCUGGAGACCAGGGCUG